GCAAUGUACUAUUUUGACCAUAAAUAGCCCAUACCUGAUUUAUUUGAAACUUCCCUGUAGAUCUGUCCAUCUCGAAAUCACAAAAAGUUUCUUCAAAACCUUUAUCAACUGAAAAAGUUGAUAUUUUUUUGGAACUUCCAACGGAGUUGCUGAGACCAAAGCUCUUCCUGCAUGAAUGCAACUCUCUAUCACCUUGACAUGACAAAUGAAUUGGCAUGCGGGGACUUGAGUGACGGCUUUUUUUAACACAAUUAUCAUCAAAGUCAGUGGAAGGACUGUCAUUGGCAGAACUAGAGCUCAUUUGAGUUCGCUUUUUCUCAGAGAUGUUCAUUUUUUUAGGAGUUAUUUGAACCUUGGAAGACUCUCCAUCAGUAGCAUGGAUGUCAUCCCCAGACUUCAGAGAUGUUGUUGCUUUCCUUGAUUUAUCUCUAGCUCCAAGUGGAACUGCAGGUAGAUCAUUU
Molecule: unclassified non-coding RNA, 461 nt
Filed under: Hevea brasiliensis (rubber tree)
Lineage: Eukaryota; Viridiplantae; Streptophyta; Magnoliopsida; Malpighiales; Euphorbiaceae
Source: RNAcentral